This 384-nucleotide ribosomal RNA is filed under the name Triticum aestivum (bread wheat). RNAcentral's name for it is "partial small subunit ribosomal RNA". The record is from RNAcentral. Lineage: Eukaryota; Viridiplantae; Streptophyta; Magnoliopsida; Poales; Poaceae.
AUGAAGAGAAAGAGGACUCUGCAUAGUUGGUUUGCAAGUAGUUCAAAUACACUUCCUAUUAUUCCUGAAUCCAAUGUUGCCCCAAUUAAUGUUAUUGUUCAGCCUACCCUCAUAGAGAACAUAAUCCCCGAUGAUCCAACAAAUGAGAGCACUAAUCCCUCGGUUGAUGAGAGAACUAAUCCCUCGGUUGAUGAGAGCACCAAUCCCACUUCAAAUGAGAGAACCAAUCCCCCAACCGAUGAGAGCACAAACCAACCAGCACCACCAACACAAUGUGCAGAUUUUUGGAUGAUAAUGGAGAGCUUCAGGAGAGAUUUCUUGCUAUUAAGCACAUCACAGAUUGCACAUCUACCGGAAUUAAAGAAGCAUUGUUUCAUGUCUUAA